AGUGAACGCUGGCGGUAGGCCUAACACAUGCAAGUCGAACGGCAGCACAGUAAGAGCUUGCUCGUACGGGUGGCGAGUGGCGGACGGGUGAGGAAUACAUCGGAAUCUACUUUUUCGUGGGGGAUAACGUAGGGAAACUUACGCUAAUACCGCAUACGACCUACGGGUGAAAGCAGGGGAUCUUCGGACCUUGCGCGAUUGAAUGAGCCGAUGUCGGAUUAGCUAGUUGGCGGGGUAAAGGCCCACCAAGGCGACGAUCCGUAGCUGGUCUGAGAGGAUGAUCAGCCACACUGGAACUGAGACACGGUCCAGACUCCGACGGGAGGCAGCAGUGGGGAAUAUUGGACAAUGGGCGCAAGCCUGAUCCAGCCAUACCGCGUGGAUGAAGAAGGCCUUCGGGUUGUAAAGUCCUUUUGUUGGGAAAGAAAAGCAGCAGGUUAAUACCCCGCUGUUCUGACGGUACCCAAAGAAUAAGCACCGGCUAACUUCGUG
Molecule: ribosomal RNA, 492 nt
Filed under: uncultured bacterium
Lineage: Bacteria
Description: partial 16S ribosomal RNA
Rfam family: Bacterial small subunit ribosomal RNA
Source: RNAcentral